UGAGGUUAUUUGAAUGGUAUUCUUUCAGGA
Molecule: non-coding RNA, 30 nt
Filed under: Rattus norvegicus (Norway rat)
Lineage: Eukaryota; Metazoa; Chordata; Mammalia; Rodentia; Muridae
Source: RNAcentral